RNAcentral lists this ribosomal RNA (429 nucleotides) under bacterium. RNAcentral describes it as "partial 16S ribosomal RNA". It matches the Rfam family "Bacterial small subunit ribosomal RNA", at positions 355 to 776 of the family's 1533-position model. The record is from RNAcentral.
UAGGGAAUCUUCCACAAUGGACGCAAGUCUGAUGGAGCAACGCCGCGUGAGUGAAGAAGGUUUUCGGAUCGUAAAGCUCUGUUGUUGGUGAAGAAGGAUAGAGGCAGUAACUGGUCUUUAUUUGACGGUAAUCAACCAGAAAGUCACGGCUAACUACGUGCCAGCAGCCGCGGUAAUACGUAGGUGGCAAGCGUUGUCCGGAUUUAUUGGGCGUAAAGUGAGCGCAGGCGGAAUGAUAAGUCUGAUGUGAAAGCCCACGGCUCAACCGUGGAACUGCAUCGGAAACUGUCAUUCUUGAGUGCAGAAGAGGAGAGUGGAAUUCCAUGUGUAGCGGUGGAAUGCGUAGAUAUAUGGAAGAACACCAGUGGCGAAGGCGGCUCUCUGGUCUGCAACUGACGCUGAGGCUCGAAAGCAUGGGUAGCGAACAGG